AUCGACCGAUAGUGAACAAGUACCGUGAGGGAAAGGCGAAAAGAACCCCGGGAGGGGAGUGAAAUAGAUCCUGAAACCGCAUGCAUACAAACAGUCGGAGCCCGCAAGGGUGACGGCGUACCUUUUGUAUAAUGGGUCAGCGACUUACGUUUGGUGGCGAGCUUAACCGUAUAGGGGAGGCGUAGGGAAACCGAGUCCGAAUAGGGCGAAUUAGUCGUCAGGCGUAGACCCGAAACCGGAUGAUCUACCCAUGGCCAGGAUGAAGGUAGGGUAACACCUGCUGGAGGUCCGAACCGACUACUGUUGCAAAAGUAGCGGAUGAGCUGUGGGUAGGGGUGAAAGGCUAAACAAAUCCGGAAAUAGCUGGUUCUCCCCGAAAACUAUUGAGGUAGUGCGUCAUGUAUCACUCCAGGGGGUAGAGCACUGUAAUGGUUGUGGGGGUCGUGCUGACUUACCACGCCAUAGCAAACUCCGAAUACCUGGAAGUGCGAGCAUGGCAGACAGUCCCCGGGUGAAACAGUCAGGAGGUUGGCUUAGAAGCAGCCACCCUUUAAAGAAAGCGUAAUAGCUCACUGAUCGAGUCGUCCUGCGCGGAAGAUGUAACGGGGCUAAGCAAAUAACCGAAGCUGCGGACUUGGAGCAAUCCAAGUGGUAGGGGAGCGUUCUGUACGCCUGUGAAGGUGAGUCGUAAGGCUUGCUGGAGGUAUCAGAAGUGCGAAUGCUGACAUGAGUAGCGUUAAACAGGGUGAAAAGCCCUGUCGCCGUAAGCGCAAGGUUUCCUACGCCACGUUCAUCGGCGUAGGGUGAGUCGGCCCCUAAGGCGAGGGCGAAAGCCGUAGUCGAUGGGAAGCUGGUUAAUAUUCCAGCACCGUCUUUAAGUGCGAUGGGGGGACGGAUCGUGGAAGGUUGUCCGGGUGUUGGAUGUCCCGGUUCUUGGCCUGUAGGCGUUUGGUAGGAAAAUCCGCCAGACAUAUACCGAGGGGUUGAGACGAGUGAGCUUGCUCGCGAAGCAACUGGAAGGGGUCCCAGGAAAAGCCUCUAAGCUUCAGCUUAAAGCGACCGUACCGCAAACCGACACUGGUGCGCGAGAUGAGUAUUCUCAGGCGCUUGAGAGAACCCGGGAGAAGGAACUCGGCAAAUUGACACCGUAACUUCGGGAGAAGGUGUGCCUUGGUAGCUUGAGUGUGAACAACACAAGGGCGAAGAGGUUGCAAAGAAUCGGUGGCUGCGACUGUUUACCAAAAACACAGCACUCUGCAAACACGAAAGUGGACGUAUAGGGUGUGACGCCUGCCCGGUGC
RNAcentral lists this ribosomal RNA (1301 nucleotides) under Methylophilaceae bacterium. RNAcentral's name for it is "partial 23S ribosomal RNA". It matches the Rfam family "Bacterial large subunit ribosomal RNA", at positions 479 to 1869 of the family's 2925-position model. The record is from RNAcentral. Lineage: Bacteria; Pseudomonadati; Pseudomonadota; Betaproteobacteria; Nitrosomonadales; Methylophilaceae.